AUGAUGAAUAGGAGGCCCAACCUGAAUGGGUCUGGAGGACCAAGGUCCAUCGGUGUUCCGUUGCUCUGUCAUUCUAACAGAGUGUUGCUGGAGAGAGAAGAGGUCAGCCAGGCCCCAGUGAUGGCCUCCUCUUUCAGGCCCUCAGCAUUCCCCUCCCUGCAUGUUGUACCUCGUGCUCCCCCUCCUGACGAAAUCAGGCCCAAGAGGCCCACAGCUGCCCACAGAAAGAGGAGAGACCUCCAGUCCCUGGUUCCUGUCCAGGAUGGAUGUCGUGAGUCUCCCGGUUGGUUUAACAGCAGCAGCUCCCAGCUACCUGCCAAAACCAACAGACGCAGGCGCAACAAGGAGCUUUCCUUCACUGAGGUUCUGAAGAACUACAAGCUUCUGCCUGAUUCCCGGCCCAACAGCCCAGAGAGCCUGUACCAGAAUGAGAUGACACCUAGAAUCCCUGUCAGCAUCACUAGACCUGAGGGGAGGCCUAGCAACCCUCGGCGCCCCACUAGAAGGCCUGUUAGCCCCGUAGGCCUGGUCCAACCUGAUGUACAGCCUUCCAGACCUGAGGGGAGGCCUAGCAACCCUCGGCGAACCACUAGACGGCCUGUUAGACCAGUGGGCCUGGUCCAGCCUGAUGUACAGCCUUCCAGACCUGAGGGGAGGCCUAGCAACCCUCUGGGCCCCACUAGACGGCCUGUUAGACCCGUGGGCCUGGUCCAGCAUGAUGUUCAGCCUUCCAGACCUGAGGGAAGGCCUAGCAACCCUCGGAACACCACUAGGAGAAAAGUUAAGCCCAGUAAUCCUGUGUGUUCCGUUAUGCUUGAGUCCCAACCUACCAGUCCUGUGAGCAUCACCACCAGCACUGUGGACAUAGUCCAGCCUGAGCUCCGUCCUACCUGCCCUCUGACCCUGGAGGAGCCGGCCCUUUCAGAGUCAUGCAGCUUCAGCAACAAUGUGUUUGUUCUCUCCAUGCCGAAAGCUGCCCAGCCAGAGGAGGCUGCCAGAGGGAGGAGCAGCCCACCCAGGGACAUCAUCAGGCCUGAGGCCUUCGUCCAGACAGGACCCCUGCUGGCCAGGAGAGCCCAGAGGGAUGCUCCUCCUCCAAAGAAGGUCCCCAAACCCCCGGUGGCCCCCCGGCCCAAACUGCUGCCCUCCCUGGGCCAGGGCAACGUGUCCCUUGUCAGUGCCAACGCCUGGGAUGAUAAGACCAAGAAGAAGAGAAAGAAAGGUCAGCACUUCUCUUUGUGCAAUGACACAUUUUCUCUAUUGAAUAUAUUGUCAAUAUUGUAUAUGUUGUUUGCUGAUGUACAACCAGGAAUAUGA
Molecule: long non-coding RNA, 1317 nt
Filed under: Oncorhynchus kisutch (coho salmon)
Lineage: Eukaryota; Metazoa; Chordata; Actinopteri; Salmoniformes; Salmonidae
Description: lncRNA (ENSOKIG00005040806.1)
Source: RNAcentral